AGUCUUGUAGCUCAGUGGUUAGAGCGCUCGCCUUGAAAGCGAGAGACUUGGGUUCAAUUCCUGGCAGGGCGA
Non-coding RNA from Callorhinchus milii (elephant shark), 72 nucleotides. The record is from the annotation of a RefSeq genome assembly. Lineage: Eukaryota; Metazoa; Chordata; Chondrichthyes; Chimaeriformes; Callorhinchidae.